AGAGUUUGAUCAUGGCUCAGAUUGAACGCUGGCGGCAGGCCUAACACAUGCAAGUCGAGCGGUAACAGAGAGAAGCUUGCUUCUUUGCUGACGAGCGGCGGACGGGUGAGUAAUACUUGGGAACUUGCCUCUAGGCGGGGGACAACCACUGGAAACGGUGGCUAAUACCGCAUAAUGUCUACGGACCAAAGUGGGGGACCUUCGGGCCUCACACCUAGAGAUGGGCCCAAGCGGGAUUAGCUAGUUGGUGAGGUAAAGGCUCACCAAGGCGACGAUCCCUAGCUGUUCUGAGAGGAUGAUCAGCCACACUGGGACUGAGACACGGCCCAGACUCCUACGGGAGGCAGCAGUGGGGAAUAUUGCACAAUGGGCGCAAGCCUGAUGCAGCCAUGCCGCGUGUGUGAAGAAGGCCUUCGGGUCGUAAAGCACUUUCAGUGGUGAGGAAGGUCAGUAAGUUAAUAGCUUGCUGAAUUGACGUUAGCCACAGAAGAAGCACCGGCUAACUCCGUGCCAGCAGCCGCGGUAAUACGGAGGGGGCUAGCGUUGUUCGGAAUUACUGGGCGUAAAGCGCGCGUAGGCGGACUAUUAAGUCAGGGGUGAAAUCCCGGGGCUCAACCCCGGAACUGCCUUUGAUACUGGUAGUCUUGAGUUCGAGAGAGGUGAGUGGAAUUCCGAGUGUAGAGGUGAAAUUCGUAGAUAU
This 700-nucleotide ribosomal RNA is filed under the name uncultured bacterium. Its description in RNAcentral is "bacterial SSU rRNA". It matches the Rfam family "Bacterial small subunit ribosomal RNA", at positions 8 to 697 of the family's 1533-position model. The record is from RNAcentral.